RNAcentral lists this ribosomal RNA (942 nucleotides) under Vargula hilgendorfii (sea firefly). RNAcentral's name for it is "partial 16S ribosomal RNA". The stretch from base 424 to 580 matches the Rfam family "Archaeal large subunit ribosomal RNA", at positions 1882 to 2091 of the family's 2987-position model. Lineage: Eukaryota; Metazoa; Arthropoda; Ostracoda; Myodocopida; Cypridinidae. The record is from RNAcentral.
UUAGGAAUUGAAUAAGUAAUCUCGAGGUGAUAGGGGCUAUUACAUAUAGAUAUUGUUUUCGUGGUAAUGAAAUUUGGUAGUAUGUGAUAGGAAUGAAAUAUUAAUCGGCUAUUAGGAUAUCUAGUUAUUCAUGAAAUAGUAAAUACUAGUGGUGUUAAAAUUUAUAAGAUUAGUUAUAAGUUGUAAUAGGUUUGAUAAAAUAAGGAGACAUAGAUUGCUUUAAAGGUAAGUAUAAGUUAGUGUGUUAUUACAAGUGUCUAUAAAUGUGUGGAUUAAAACUCAAACUAGUGUGUAGUGAAUUAUUUUAUAUAGUAAGAAAAUAGAAAUUAUAAUGAUAGGAUGAGUAUGUGUUGUGUAGAAUGUAAAUAAAUAUAAUUAUUAAAAAUAGGAUAAGUGAAGUUAUUGGUAAAUAACUCGGCAAUAAAGUUCUAAAAUGUUUAACAAAAACAUUUCCUUUUAUGUGAAAGGUAAAUUCUGCCCGGUGUUGAAAUAAACGGCUGCGGUAUUCUGACCGUACGAAGGUAGCAAAAUAAAUAGUCUUUUAAUUGGGGACUGGAAUGAAAGAUUUAAUUAGGAACUUGCUUUUUUACUAGUAGUAAUAGAAUUUGAUUAAUAAGUUAAAAGGCUUAUAUACAUUAAAGUGACAAGAAGACCCUAAGAGUUUUACAGAUUAUAUUGUUUGAGGCAGUUGGAUGUAGAUGUUUUAUUUAAUAAAUUUUGUUUGACUGGGGCGGUUAAAAUUUUAUCUAUUUUGUUAGGGACUAAAAUAAUAGGGGCAAGUAAACUAUUAUCCUUUUUGGAAAGCAAAAUAAAUUACCUUAGGGAUAACAGCAUAAUCUUUUUUGAGAGAUCGUAUUGACAGAAAGGUUUGUGACCUCGAUGUUGGAUUUGAAUAACUUUUUGGAGCAGCAUUUUUACAAGUUGUCUGUUCGACCAUUAAUU